GGGCAAACCGAAGAGUUUACUCUUCGGGGUUGUAGGACUGCAAUGUGGACUCAAAGAUUAUAGAAGAAUGAUUUGGGAAGAUCAGCCAAAGAGAGUAAUAGCCUCGUAUUUUAAAUAGUCUUUGUACCUAGCAGUAUCCUGAGUACGGCGGGACACGUGAAAUCCCGUCGGAAUCUGGGAGGACCAUCUCCCAACCCUAAAUACUCCCUAGUGACCGAUAGUGAACCAGUACCGUGAGGGAAAGGUGAAAAGCACCCCGGGAGGGGAGUGAAAUAGAACCUGAAACCGUGUGCCUACAACAAGUUCGAGCCCGUUAAUGGGUGAGAGCGUGCCUUUUGUAGAAUGAACCGGCGAGUUACGUUAUGAUGCGAGGUUAAGUUGAAGAGACGGAGCCGUAGGGAAACCGAGUCUGAAUAGGGCGCCUUAGUAUCAUGACGUAGACCCGAAACCAUGUGACCUACCCAUGAGCAGGUUGAAGGUGCGGUAAGACGCACUGGAGGACCGAACCAGGGCACGUUGAAAAGUGCUUGGAUGACUUGUGGGUAGCGGAGAAAUUCCAAACGAACUUGGAGAUAGCUGGUUCUCUCCGAAAUAGCUUUAGGGCUAGCGUCGACAUUAGAGAUUCUUGGAGGUAGAGCACUGUUUGGGUGAGGGGUCCAUCCCGGAUUACCAAUCUCAGAUAAACUCCGAAUGCCAAUGAAUUAUGGUCGGCAGUCAGACUGCGAGUGCUAAGAUCCGUAGUCGAAAGGGAAACAGCCCAGACCACCAGCUAAGGUCCCAAAAUAAUUGUUAAGUGGAAAAGGAUGUGGGGUUGCACAGACAACUAGGAUGUUAGCUUAGAAGCAGCUAUUCAUUCAAAGAGUGCGUAAUAGCUCACUAGUCGAGUGACCCUGCGCCGAAAAUGUACCGGGGCUAAAACAAUUUACCGAAGCUGUGGAUACCUUUAUAGGUAUGGUAGGAGAGCGUUCUAUGUGUGAUGAAGGUAUACCGUGAGGAGUGCUGGAACGCAUAGAAGUGAGAAUGCCGGUAUGAGUAGCGAAAGACAGGUGAGAAUCCUGUCCACCGUAAGACUAAGGUUUCCAGGGGAAGGCUCGUCCGCCCUGGGUUAGUCGGGACCUAAGGAGAGACCGAAAGGUGUAUCCGAUGGACAACAGGUUGAUAUUCCUGUACUAGAGUAUGUAGUGAUGGAGGGACGCAGUAGGCUAACUAAAGCAGACGAUUGGAAGAGUCUGUCUAAGCAGUGAGGUGUGAAUUGAGUCAAAUGCUUAAUUCUAUAACAUUGAGCUGUGAUGGGGAGCGAAGUUUAGUAGCGAAGUUAGUGACGUCACACUGCCAAGAAAAGCUUCUAGCGUUUAAACAUACUCUACCCGUACCGCAAACCGACACAGGUAGUCGAGGCGAGUAGCCUCAGGUGAGCGAGAGAACUCUCGUUAAGGAACUCGGCAAAAUGACCCCGUAACUUCGGGAGAAGGGGUGCUGACUUUAAGUCAGCCGCAGUGAAUAGGCCCAAGCAACUGUUUAUCAAAAACACAGCUCUCUGCUAAAUCGUAAGAUGAUGUAUAGGGGGUGACGCCUGCCCGGUGCUGGAAGGUUAAGAGGAGUGCUUAGCGUAAGCGAAGGUAUGAAUUGAAGCCCCAGUAAACGGCGGCCGUAACUAUAACGGUCCUAAGGUAGCGAAAUUCCUUGUCGGGUAAGUUCCGACCCGCACGAAAGGCGUAAUGAUUUGGGCACUGUCUCAACGAGAGACUCGGUGAAAUUUUAGUACCUGUGAAGAUGCAGGUUACCCGCGACAGGACGGAAAGACCCCAUGGAGCUUUACUGCAGUUUGAUAUUGAGUGUCUGUACCACAUGUACAGGAUAGGUAGGAGUCUAAGAGAUCGGGACGCCAGUUUCGAAGGAGACGCUGUUGGGAUACUACCCUUGUGUUAUGGCCACUCUAACCCAGAUAGGUGAUCCCUAUCGGAGACAGUGUCUGACGGGCAGUUUGACUGGGGCGGUCGCCUCCUAAAAGGUAACGGAGGCGCCCAAAGGUUCCCUCAGAAUGGUUGGAAAUCAUUCGCAGAGUGUAAAGGUAUAAGGGAGCUUGACUGCGAGAGCUACAACUCGAGCAGGGACGAAAGUCGGGCUUAGUGAUCCGGUGGUUCCGUAUGGAAGGGCCAUCGCUCAACGGAUAAAAGCUACCCUGGGGAUAACAGGCUUAUCUCCCCCAAGAGUUCACAUCGACGGGGAGGUUUGGCACCUCGAUGUCGGCUCGUCGCAUCCUGGGGCUGUAGUCGGUCCCAAGGGUUGGGCUGUUCGCCCAUUAAAGCGGCACGCGAGCUGGGUUCAGAACGUCGUGAGACAGUUCGGUCCCUAUCCGUCGCGGGCGUAGGAAAUUUGAGAGGAUCUGCUCCUAGUACGAGAGGACCAGAGUGGACUUACCGCUGGUGUACCAGUUGUCUUGCCAAAGGCAUCGCUGGGUAGCUAUGUAGGGAAGGGAUAAACGCUGAAAGCAUCUAAGUGUGAAACCCACCUCAAGAUGAGAUUUCCCAUGAUUAUAUAUCAGUAAGAGCCCUGAGAGAUGAUCAGGUAGAUAGGUUAGAAGUGGAAGUGUGGCGACACAUGUAGCGGACUAAUACUAAUAGCUCGAGGACUUAUCCAA
This 2641-nucleotide ribosomal RNA is filed under the name Streptococcus pneumoniae. Its description in RNAcentral is "23S ribosomal RNA". It matches the Rfam family "Bacterial large subunit ribosomal RNA". Lineage: Bacteria; Bacillati; Bacillota; Bacilli; Lactobacillales; Streptococcaceae. The record is from RNAcentral.